UCCUACCUGAUCCGAGGUCAACCUUGGGUUAAAAGGUGGUUUAACGGCCGGAACCCGCGGCGCGACCAGAGCGAGAUGUAUGCUACUACGCUCGGUGCGACAGCGAGCCCGCCACUGCUUUUCAGGGCCUGCGGCAGCCGCAGGUCCCCAACACAAGCCCGGGGGCUUGAUGGUUGAAAUGACGCUCGAACAGGCAUGCCCGCCAGAAUGCUGGCGGGCGCAAUGUGCGUUCAAAGAUUCGAUGAUUCACUGAAUUCUGCAAUUCACAUUACUUAUCGCAUUUCGCUGCGUUCUUCAUCGAUGCCAGAACCAAGAGAUCCGUUGUUGAAAGUUUUGACUUAUUCAGUACAGAAGACUCAGAGAGGCCAUAAAUUAUCAAGAGUUUGGUGACCUCCGGCGGGCGCCCGCGGUGGGGCCCAGGGGCGCCCGGGGGGUAAACCCCGGGGCCGCCCGCCGAAGCAACGGUAUAGGUAACGUUCACAAUGGUUUAGGGAGUUUUGCAACUCUGUAAUGAUCCCUCCGCAGGUCACCCUACGGAA
This 539-nucleotide unclassified non-coding RNA is filed under the name Chaetomium globosum. RNAcentral describes it as "partial contains ITS1, 5.8S rRNA and ITS2". Lineage: Eukaryota; Fungi; Ascomycota; Sordariomycetes; Sordariales; Chaetomiaceae. The record is from RNAcentral.